UGGGGAUCCGUAUGCUUUGGGAACUC
Molecule: non-coding RNA, 26 nt
Filed under: Rattus norvegicus (Norway rat)
Lineage: Eukaryota; Metazoa; Chordata; Mammalia; Rodentia; Muridae
Source: RNAcentral